AGAGGAUCGAGGGACUCAUUGGGUGAACCUAACCUAUUGCUUAGAUUCAAUCUGAUUGAGUCUAAGACAAUCUAAAUCACAUAGAUCUGACUCGAACAUUGACCCAAACCUCGACCUGGACUCAGGCCAGAUUGAAAGUCUUUCUAUUUAUCUUAAUUUUUUCUAAAUAAGGGCUAAUAAAAUUUAUCAUCUAUUUAUACUAGCGCAUUUAUCAUCGGAAGAAUACUGGAUCUAG
RNAcentral lists this long non-coding RNA (235 nucleotides) under Elaeis guineensis (African oil palm). RNAcentral describes it as "long non-coding RNA (EGUI_LNC017642)". The record is from RNAcentral. Lineage: Eukaryota; Viridiplantae; Streptophyta; Magnoliopsida; Arecales; Arecaceae.